Molecule: long non-coding RNA, 654 nt
Organism: Talpa occidentalis (Iberian mole)
Lineage: Eukaryota; Metazoa; Chordata; Mammalia; Eulipotyphla; Talpidae
Exons: 3
Source: RefSeq, a predicted model, not a curated record
UUCCCAUCUAAAAUGUGCAUUCCCAGGAGCUGACUUCAGCUCCAAGUGUAUAUGACUACAUACAGAUUUUCAGACUUUGUGGAUAAUCUGAAGUUGAAUUAAAGUUGGGAGAAGCAGAGCCUGUGGAGAUGAGAUUUACCCUGCCUAGUGCUCUUCAGAAAGUGCGAACUUCAAGAGGUCACCAUUGUUCCAUCGGCAAGUAGCACUGAGUGCACAGUUGGCAUUCACAAAAACCCCUGAACGACUGAACUCCAGCAGGGUAAGAAGACUCCUAUAGUCUCUGUACCUCCCCUGUCUCCUGCAACACAGGACAGUGAUGCCUCAGGACUGCUGCUGGCUCCGCUACUGGAAAGUGAUGUGCUUGUGGAAAGCCCUGGCUUCGGGGCUAACCUCAGAGACGUCCCUCAAACAUUUCAUCUGCGCUGCUCCACUCUGACUGGCACUUUGGCUCUCACCUCAUUUCUUGCCUCUAUGAGCCCUCGUGACUGAGUAGCAUUUCCCACUAACUCCCAUGAGCCUAAAAAAUGUUCACCUGGCAAAUCUACCACCACCACCUCAGUGGUUGAACAUGUACACUGCAAUAUCCCCAGGCUAUAAAUAGAGUGGCCCAGAAAUGUGAAGUUCAUCGGUCUAGGUUCUGCUGCAAAUAAAGUG